This is a small nuclear RNA of Arvicola amphibius (Eurasian water vole), 107 nucleotides long. NCBI's taxonomy places the organism in Eukaryota, Metazoa, Chordata, Mammalia, Rodentia, Cricetidae. The record is from RefSeq and is a predicted model, not a curated record.
GUGCUCGUUUUGGCAGCACAUGUACUAAAAUUAGAAUGAUAAAGAGAGGAUUAGUAUGGCCCCCGCACAACGAUGACAUGCAAGCUAAUGAAGUGUUCCUUAUUUUU